RNAcentral lists this ribosomal RNA (691 nucleotides) under uncultured Planctomycetota bacterium. RNAcentral's name for it is "bacterial SSU rRNA". It matches the Rfam family "Bacterial small subunit ribosomal RNA", at positions 57 to 757 of the family's 1533-position model. The record is from RNAcentral. Lineage: Bacteria; Pseudomonadati; Planctomycetota.
GCAGUCGUGCGGCAGCAGGUCCUUCGGGAUGCUGGCGAGCGGCGAAAGGGAGAGUAACGCGUGGGUAACCUACCCUUGGGUCUGGGAUAGCGACGGGAAACUGUCGGUAAUACCGGAUAACGUCUCCGGACCAAAGGUGUGAUUCCGCCUGGGGAUGGGCCCGCGUCCUAUUAGCUUGUUGGUGGGGUAAUGGCUCACCAAGGCCGCGAUGGGUACCGGGUGUGAGAGCAUGGCCCGGCUCACUGGGACUGAGACACUGCCCAGACACCUACGGGUGGCUGCAGUCGAGAAUCUUCGGCAAUGGGCGCAAGCCUGACCGAGCGACGCCGCGUGCGGGAUGAAGGCCCUCGGGUUGUAAACCGCUGUCGGAGGGGAGGAAAUGCAAUCGGGUUCUCUCGGUUGUUUGACCUAUCCUCAAAGGAAGUACGGGCUAAGUUCGUGCCAGCAGCCGCGGUAACACGAACCGUACGAACGUUAUUCGGAAUCACUGGGCUUAAAGAGUGCGUAGGCGGCCUGGAAAGUUGGGUGUGAAAUCCCUCGGCUCAACCGAGGAACUGCGCUCAAUACUGCCAGGCUUGAGGGAGAUAGAGGCGAGCGGAACUGAUGGUGGAGCGGUGAAAUGCGUUGAUAUCAUCAGGAACACCGGAGGCGAAAGCGGCUCGCUGGGUCUCUUCUGACGCUGAGGCACGAA